AUUCGAGGCGACGGGCUCCGGGCCCUGAUAGAUGGGGUGCGGGGACGGAGACAAAUGACGGCCUUUGGGCUCGGAAUACCCACCUUUCUGGUAAUGCAGCCCAGCGGGUCCCAGCCUCGUUUUCCAGCCCUCACUCAAAAUGGAGUCGCUCUGGUUCGAACGCCUCUGACAAGUGUGUACCUACGUGUCAGGGUUGGAGUGCCAUGGUGUGGUCAUAGCCCACUGAAGCCUCAAACCUCUGGGCUGAAGCCAUCCUUCCGCCUCAGCCUCCCAAGUAGCUGGGACCAUAGGUGCAUGGCACUGUGCCUGGCACUGUCUGAAUGCAUACAGCUGCGUAGCAUCGUGGUAAGAACACCCGCCCUGACAUCACACAGACCUGCAUCCACGUCCCAGCUGAGCCUCAGUUCUCACAUCUGCAAAAUGGGGAGAACAACAGCAGCAGCGUCCUGAGGCUGGGGUGAGGACCGAGUGAAAAACCUUUGUCGCAUCUUUGGGCAUCGCAGGAGUUCAAUAAAUGUUAGCUAUCGUUGUCA
This 533-nucleotide long non-coding RNA is filed under the name Homo sapiens (human). RNAcentral's name for it is "long intergenic non-protein coding RNA 1503". The record is from RNAcentral. Lineage: Eukaryota; Metazoa; Chordata; Mammalia; Primates; Hominidae.